CUGGCAGACAGACUCCUGAAUUUUGGGUUGAGAAGAUCUAGAAUGAGAAUACUCAAGAACGUUUCAUUUUAAAUUAGACUUUUUCUCCCCCAACCUGGGGAAUGCUUCUUGGUUUUCUUUUAUGCCAACAAAAGAGAAAGGUGAGGCUGCUGGGGGCUGCUGGGAAGACUGUGGCCCUUUUCUCUGUAGCAAGAGGGAUUCUGGGGGCUACUCUGGCUUCCUAAAACCUUGUGGCUCUGUGCGUUGGGUGUGGAAUAAACGUGUGUGUGGAUGAGGUACUCUCUGGCUCCCACCUCAGAACUCCUAUUCCCUUUCUCACUUUAUUUGUCCCCUGGGCACUUAGACAUUGGCAUGCCAUCCUUCUCUCCUGCCUGGGUCUCCGCAGGAACGCAAGACCCCCAGGAGCAGGGAGCCUGCUUCUGUAACUGCUGGGUCUCUGGCACCUAGAAAUGGUGCCAACACACAGAUGGCACUCUGUAAAGGUUUGUGGAAUGACAAAAAGUUUGUCAGCCCCCAGGUGCUGAAUCCCGUGCCCCAGGAACCCAGCGGGAGCAGGAGGAGAAGGAGAGACUCGCCUUGGAAACUCUACAUCCCAGAAAGAUGCAGAGCCUCAGGCCGGAGCAGAUCCGAGGGCUGCUUGAGCCAGAGAGGGCCAAGACGCUGAUGCCCCGGGAGACCAGGGCCUGGGAGAAGCGUGCUGCCCUCACCAAGGACUGGGCAGCUGUGGAGGUUGGGGCCCCUGGCGGUGACGGUGACCUGAAAGGCCUGUCUUCUUCAGAACCCGGGCUGGCACAAGAGUGGAACGCGGUGGAGGGAGAUGAGUCCGAGGACUCGCAGGUAAGCUGGGGGUUCCCUCUUCUUUUACAGAUGUCCACCCCGCAGACC
Molecule: long non-coding RNA, 885 nt
Filed under: Mustela putorius furo (domestic ferret)
Lineage: Eukaryota; Metazoa; Chordata; Mammalia; Carnivora; Mustelidae
Description: lncRNA (ENSMPUG00000031430.1)
Source: RNAcentral